This 449-nucleotide ribosomal RNA is filed under the name uncultured bacterium. Its description in RNAcentral is "partial 16S ribosomal RNA". It matches the Rfam family "Bacterial small subunit ribosomal RNA", at positions 29 to 523 of the family's 1533-position model. The record is from RNAcentral.
AACGAACGCUGGCGGCAUGCCUAACACAUGCAAGUCGAACGAGAUCUUCGGGUCUAGUGGCGCACGGGUGCGUAACGCGUGGGAAUCUGCCCUUUGGUUCGGAAUAACAGUUGGAAACGACUGCUAAUACCGGAUGAUGACGAAAGUCCAAAGAUUUAUCGCCAGAGGAUGAUCCCGCGUAGGAUUAGCUAGUUGGUGUGGUAAAGGCGCACCAAGGCGACGAUCCUUAGCUGGUCUGAGAGGAUGAUCAGCCACACUGGGACUGGUACACGGCCCAGACUCCUACGGGAGGCAGCAGUGGGGAAUAUUUGACAAUGGGCGAAAGCCUGCUCCAGCAAUGCCGCGUGAGUGAUGAAGGCCUUAGGGUUGUAAAGCUCUUUUACCCGGGAUGAUAAUGACAGUACCGGGAGAAUAAGCUCCGGCUAACUCCGUGCCAGCCGCCGCGGUAA